GUGUUACAUAAAAUUGAGAAUGGAAAUGGGGAAUGUGCCAAAGAGACAACAACCCGACCAUAGAAAAAAACAACAGCAGAAGGUCACCAACAGGUCUUCAAUGUAGCGAGAAAUUCCCGCACCAGGAGGCGUCCUUCAGCUGGCCCCUAAACAAAUAUAUACUAGUUCAGUGAUAAUGAACGCCAUACUAAUUUCCAAAUUGUACACAAGAAACUAAAAUUAAAAUAAUACAAGACUAACAAAGGCCAGAUGCUCCUGACUUGGGACAGGCGCAAAAAUGCGGCGGGGUUAAACAUGUUUGUGAGAUCUCAACCCUCCCCCUAUACCUCUAGCCA
This 335-nucleotide long non-coding RNA is filed under the name Mytilus galloprovincialis (Mediterranean mussel). Lineage: Eukaryota; Metazoa; Mollusca; Bivalvia; Mytilida; Mytilidae. The record is from RNAcentral.